This 253-nucleotide ribosomal RNA is filed under the name uncultured bacterium. Its description in RNAcentral is "partial 16S ribosomal RNA". It matches the Rfam family "Bacterial small subunit ribosomal RNA", at positions 524 to 776 of the family's 1533-position model. The record is from RNAcentral.
CACGUAGGGGCCAAGCGUUGUCCGGAUUUAUUGGGCGUAAAGAGCUCGUAGGCGGUCUGUUGCGUCGGCUGUGAAAACCCGGGGCUCAACCCCGGGCCUGCAGCCGAUACGGGCAGACUAGAGUUCGGCAGGGGAGACUGGAAUUCCUGGUGUAGCGGUGAAAUGCGCAGAUAUCAGGAGGAACACCGGUGGCGAAGGCGGGUCUCUGGGCCGAUACUGACGCUGAGGAGCGAAAGCGUGGGGAGCAAACAGG